UUGAAAGUGACUACAUCGGG
This 20-nucleotide small RNA is filed under the name Arabidopsis thaliana (thale cress). Its description in RNAcentral is "AGO4_00942". The record is from RNAcentral. Lineage: Eukaryota; Viridiplantae; Streptophyta; Magnoliopsida; Brassicales; Brassicaceae.